GCCCAGGACACCACACUGCUGAGUGUUUACUGCCAUUUGCUGCUUUUAGGUCGUUUUGCUUUAGGAGCUGAGAACUUAUAUAGGGAUGACAGGUCUAUUUUGGUGGCUGGGGAUAGGAGAGGGCAAAAGAACAGUCAACAGAGAUAAUGUUUCUUUUGUAAGUAGCCUUCAGAGCUAGGCAGAAAGGACCACAAUUAAUAACAUGAAGACCAAGGACUAGAGAAAAGCUUAAAAUUCAUUGAUACCUGAAUCGACAAAGAAUGGCCUCUAAAUUGACAGACAGCUGCCAUCUACUCUACUUUGUUUCCUCCAGGUACUUUUACUUUAUGAUUUUUCUUAUUGAAGGAAAGGAAAGGUGCUUGUUAUACAGUUUAUUUAAUGCAAAUUUGAUGGGUGUGAAUUUGAAAUCGUUUGACCUAAAACGUUAACAAACACUGAUUUAUUUUCCAUUGCUGGGCAUUGAACCCAGGGCUUCACGCAUGCUAGAGUAGCACUCUACAGCUGAACUGCAGUCCAGAUCUAAAAAGCUCUUAAUUGGUUACUCAGAAUUGAAAACAGAACAAACAAAAAC
RNAcentral lists this long non-coding RNA (571 nucleotides) under Marmota monax (woodchuck). The record is from RNAcentral. Lineage: Eukaryota; Metazoa; Chordata; Mammalia; Rodentia; Sciuridae.